UGUUUUAUGCAGUGUAGUUCUAGCUGUGUUGGUCCCAGGAUAUUAGAGAGAAAAGGUGGGUGAGGUAAUAUCUUUUAUGAAAUGCGUGGUG
Non-coding RNA from Chelonoidis abingdonii (Abingdon island giant tortoise), 91 nucleotides. Lineage: Eukaryota; Metazoa; Chordata; Testudines; Testudinidae. The record is from RefSeq and is a predicted model, not a curated record.